RNAcentral lists this ribosomal RNA (515 nucleotides) under uncultured bacterium. RNAcentral describes it as "partial 16S ribosomal RNA". It matches the Rfam family "Bacterial small subunit ribosomal RNA", at positions 28 to 523 of the family's 1533-position model. The record is from RNAcentral.
GAUGAACGCUGGCGGCGUGCCUAAUACAUGCAAGUCGAGCGAAUGGAUUAAGAGCUUGCCCUUAUGACGUUAGCGGCGGACGGGUGAGUAACACGGGGGUAACCUGCCCAUAAGACUAGGAUAACUCCGGGAAACCGGGGCCAAUACCGGAUAACAUUUUGAACCGAAUGGUUCGAAAUUGAAAGUCGGCUUGGGCUGUCACUUAUGGAUGGACCCGCGUCGCAUUAGCUAGUUGGUGAGGUAACGGCUCACCAAGGCAACGAUGCGUAGCCGACCUGAGAGGGUGAUCGGCCACACUGGGACUGAGACACGGCCCAGACUCCUACGGGAGGCAGCAGUAGGGAAUCUUCCGCAAUGGACGAAAGUCUGACGGAGCAACGCCGCGUGAGUGAUGAAGGCUUUCGGGUCGUAAAACUCUGUUGUUAGGGAAGAACAAGUGCUAGUUGAAUAAGCUGGCACCUUGACGGUACCUAACCAGAAAGCCACGGCUAACUACGUGCCAGCCGCCGCAGUAA